UACUGAGGGUGCGAACGUUGUUCGGAAUUACUGGGCGUAAAGCGCGUGUAGGCGGCAGCGCGUGUCGGGCGUGAAAUCCCACGGCUCAACCGUGGAAGUGCACUCGAAACUGCGCAGCUAGAGUCCUGGAGAGGAAGGUGGAAUGCUUGGUGUAGAGGUGAAAUUCGUAGAUAUCAAGCGGAACACCGGUGGCGAAGGCGACCUUCUGGACAGUGACUGACGCUGAGACGCGAAAGCGUGGGGAGCAAAC
Molecule: ribosomal RNA, 250 nt
Filed under: uncultured bacterium
Lineage: Bacteria
Description: partial 16S ribosomal RNA
Rfam family: Bacterial small subunit ribosomal RNA
Source: RNAcentral